UGGCGGACGGGUGAGUAACGCGUGGGUAACCUGCCUUGUACAGGGGGAUAACAGUUGGAAACGACUGCUAAUACCGCAUAAGCGCACAGUACCGCAUGGUACAGUGUGAAAAACUCCGGUGGUACGAGAUGGACCCGCGUCUGAUUAGCUUGUUGGCAGGGUAACGGCCUACCAAGGCAACGAUCAGUAGCCGGUCUGAGAGGAUGAACGGCCACAUUGGAACUGAGACACGGUCCAAACUCCUACGGGAGGCACAUG
RNAcentral lists this ribosomal RNA (258 nucleotides) under uncultured bacterium. RNAcentral describes it as "partial 16S ribosomal RNA". It matches the Rfam family "Bacterial small subunit ribosomal RNA", at positions 96 to 350 of the family's 1533-position model. The record is from RNAcentral.